RNAcentral lists this transfer RNA (75 nucleotides) under Podarcis lilfordi (Lilford's wall lizard). RNAcentral's name for it is "tRNA.Lys". The stretch from base 10 to 67 matches the Rfam family "tRNA", at positions 8 to 63 of the family's 71-position model. Rfam says of the family: Transfer RNA (tRNA) molecules are approximately 80 nucleotides in length. The record is from RNAcentral. Lineage: Eukaryota; Metazoa; Chordata; Lepidosauria; Squamata; Lacertidae.
GCAGAGAGAUAGCUCAGUUGGUAGAGCAUGAGAGUCUUAAUCUCAGGGUCAUGCGUUUGAGCCCCAUGUUCAGCG